CGCCAUGGCCGCCGGGCGGGCCUUCCUCGGCGCGCCGUGCUCCUCCCUCGCCGCCGGCGCCCGCCGCCUUGCCUUCGCUUCCCCUUUGCCGCGGACCCUCACCCCCGCGCUCCGCUGCGGCGUUCGCGGUCGCUGCAUCGCUUCCGCCUCCUCGUCCCCCGACGCGGCCUCCUCGCCCGAGCCAUACGUGCUCACCACGCCGCUCUACUACGUCAACGCUCCGCCGCAUAUGGGAAGCGCCUACACCACUAUCGCGGCGGACGCCAUCGCCCGCUUCCAG
This 280-nucleotide long non-coding RNA is filed under the name Sorghum bicolor (sorghum). Its description in RNAcentral is "long non-coding RNA (SBIC_LNC001713)". Lineage: Eukaryota; Viridiplantae; Streptophyta; Magnoliopsida; Poales; Poaceae. The record is from RNAcentral.